RNAcentral lists this ribosomal RNA (253 nucleotides) under uncultured bacterium. RNAcentral's name for it is "partial 16S ribosomal RNA". It matches the Rfam family "Bacterial small subunit ribosomal RNA", at positions 524 to 776 of the family's 1533-position model. The record is from RNAcentral.
UACGGAGGGUGCAAGCGUUAUCCGGAUUCACUGGGGUUAAAGGGCGCGCAGGCGGGCUGGUAAGUCAGGGGUGAAAGCCUUGAGCUUAACUCGAGAACUGCCAUUGAUACUAUCAGUCUUGAAUAUUGUUGAGGUUUGCGGAAUGGGUCAUGUAGCGGUGAAAUGCAUAGAUAUGACCCGGAACACCUAUUGCGAAGGCAGCAGGCUAAACAAAGAUUGACGCUGAGGCUCGAAAGCGUGGGGAUCAAACAGG